Molecule: long non-coding RNA, 789 nt
Filed under: Phoenix dactylifera (date palm)
Lineage: Eukaryota; Viridiplantae; Streptophyta; Magnoliopsida; Arecales; Arecaceae
Description: long non-coding RNA (PDAC_LNC017817)
Source: RNAcentral
AAGGGUGUUGCCAUCUAGAUCUUUGGCUAAGACGGUUAGGUCUUUCAAGAAAUACACAGAGCACCUGCUCUGAUACCACUUGUUGCCCAGAGAUGGUCACCCAAGAGGGGGGUGAAUUGGGUGUUUUAAAACUUUUCGCCUAAUUAAAAAUAAAACACACAAAUAUAUGCACUAAAGUAAAGAAGGAGGAAUGAAAAAAGGUCAAUCGCAAACACAAGGUUUUAUAGUGGUUCGGAGCUUCCACUGCUCCUACAUCCACUCCCCAAAUCACCUUUGGGAAUUUCUACUAUAAUCCAAGAUUACAGUACGGUAGUUUUGCGAGUUCACUACCUAACUCGUUGUUUUACACCGGGCUCACAACAAACCCUAACACCCCCAAUUUCACUUAGGCUUGGGACGCCUUUUCCUUGUUCCACGUCCCUUGACUGGAACAAGCACCACAAUGAAAGAGUUUACACAGAAAAGAAAAGCUCUAGAAAAGCAAAUAUGGCAAUGAUGAACAAUAAACCCGGAAGAGCUUGAAAUCACUUGGGAAGCUUGAAAGCACCACUUUGAUUUCUUCACUUGAAUGCACUCACUCUCUUGAACUUCUCUCUCUUGCUUCUCUCUUAAAUGAUCUAGCUUUUUGGAUUGGUGAAAAGUUGUUUUGAAGCACUUAAGAGCUCCCUUUUAUAGCCCAAAAAGCAAAUAUAGCCGUUAGAGAUAAAGUAAAAGAGAUUUGAAAUUCAAACCAAACCUGUAAAAGUUGUCAGUCGCGUCCCAGGCGUUCCGGGGACGUCUCCGCUUCAA